UGGGGAAAAAUAUGCUCAAUAAACGUAUCUGGAUCCAUCAGGCUAUCAUUCUUACAAAUCAAUAUAAAUGGACAGAGAGACACUGCACUCACCAGUCCCGCAGUGAGAGACGGGGCAGACUGGCCAAAGGACUGACUCCUCAUGCGGACCAAGUUAUUGGGCUCCCCUGUGUGCUGCUGCCAGGCCAGCUGACUCACUCCUCCAUGCAUACUGCUGGACAGAGGCAGAAGCUGCUUUCCUGCGGCACACAGAACAAGCCAGAGUCACGACAUGGACUUGGCAUGAACACCCAGCAACAAACCAAAUGCUGGUAGGCUUCAGCUGUGGCGGGUUAGACAAGGAUGACCAUCGAGAAGCAGCACAACUGACAAAAACAACUGAGUUUGUGUGAGCAAAAGAAAGUAGGUGAGAACCGAGUGCAGAGAAUGAUCACGAAAAUGGAGAGACUCUCACUCACUGACAAGGGCUUUAAGACUCAUUCACACUACAACCGGCUUGCAGUGGCAAAGCAACCGUUCAUUUCAACGAAGAGCAAGCUACUUUCAUCGAUCUCCAUCUACGCAAUCGAUAGCAAUCAUUGGCGACCAGGUUGGCAUGUCAAGCAUUGGUAUGUCGAGCGUUCAACUUUGUGCAAAUGAAAAGUGACUACCUUGAGCGACAGCCAACAGGAGCACGAGUACAGCUAACGUGAUCCUCUCUCUACUCGCUCAGAAGCAGGUUGUAUUCAUGCUGUAUAUACCUACACAGACCUGCGUUUGCAGCAGUUCACCACCCAGAGCAAUGGACAGCUACAAAAUCACUGCUAGUGUGAAUGAGGGAAAUUAGUGUCGCGUGCUCAGCUAAUGUGUUGUGAGCAAGUAGUUAAAUGGUUGCGCACUCCCUUUUCCUUGAGUAAAUUAGCAACCGUGUCUG
This 912-nucleotide long non-coding RNA is filed under the name Danio rerio (zebrafish). RNAcentral's name for it is "si:dkey-87o12.1 (ENSDARG00000102518.2)". Lineage: Eukaryota; Metazoa; Chordata; Actinopteri; Cypriniformes; Danionidae. The record is from RNAcentral.